AAUGUCAGAACUUAUUUACUAUAUAUAUUUUUGGAAGAAUGUUCUAAGACCUGUUGACGAAUAUAAAGUAUCAAGAAGAGAGCUAAUUUUAUAUAUACGAUGAAUACUAUUGAGAACAAGGUUGAGAACAUCUUUUCCGCUGUUGCCAUAUGAGUUCCACUAAAAGUACAAGUCUCUACCGGUUUCCCUAACAUUGCUUUCAUUUUGGAUUCGCGUGCGCCAACAGCUUUUCACGGGGCAUCAUCGUCCUUCUAUUUACAGAUUUCGAGGGUGACCACUGUACAAAACUUUCUCUUUGUGAAAAAUAUGGAAAACAGCAUUUAUACCAAUAAUGAGAACAAGAGAUAGGCAAUUGGCAGUUUGAGAUAUGGCUUUUUUUGCGCUUAUUUGUUCCGUUAAGAUGGAAGAAGAUGUCCUCCAUUAUUAGAUUUCAGUAAUGGGAAUAUGAACUUUUUCUUUUUUGCGGGUGAUACUGUAUGAUACUUUUUCUUCUCGAAAAAUAUGGAAAACAGUGUUUAGACCAAUAAUGAAAACAGGCGUAAUUCUUAAGUAUAAUUUUGAUGAACGCUGAGCAUGGAAUUAUGAUCAGAAAAUUUAUAUAGUGGAGGAAUGAAUUGAUUGACACGGUUGUUCAUCAUGCAGCUAAUGGAAGAGAAGUUGUUCUGUUUUAGAUUAUUAAUGCACCAUUAAUGGAGUGAUGGAUGAAUCAAUCUUUGUUUCGAUAAAAUAAAAGAAGUGAAAUCGAUUUAGAGUUUUAUUGUUAAUUUGCAUUCGUUUGUAUUUUUAAGCUUCCAUAGACUAUACUUUAUAUGUGAAACAUCCAAUUGAAUUAAAUUCAUUAUCUGUCUCUUAAUCAAUAAGUAAUUAUCGCGUAUUAGAAUCAAUGCACCAUGGAAGACGAUCAAGAAUCUAAGUAUAUUUCUUCUAUAGAACAAUAAUAUCAAUCUACUGCAACUUCAACCUACUUCAUUUUCAAUUUACUUUGAUGUAAAUCUAUCUUAUUUUUGACUUAUUACGAGUCAAUCUACUCUAAUUUCAACCUAUAAUAAGGAUGAAUGUUUUGGACCGUGGAAUUUCUUAAAUAAGUGGAUGAUCGGGGUGGUUCCAGUGGUAUGCCUUGGCAAAGCGUAUCUGUAUCUAUUUUAUCACGUUGACUGCUGUGGGGGUAACCGAUGACCGGCACUCGACUUGGCUACAGCGCCGUGGAGGUCAUUGGUGACCAGCGACGCGACGAAUAGUGAAAAUAUAUAAUUAGGGUAAACAUCGAUCCAAUAAAUUUUUUAAAUAAUACCAUUGAUUCCAUAGUGAUUUAAAGAAAUUAAUGCCUUACAGAACAUGUAAUUAUAAUUUUAUCAAUACAAGGAAAAUAUACAUAUUAUUUGUGCAUAUAACGAUGAA
Molecule: long non-coding RNA, 1398 nt
Organism: Vespa crabro (European hornet)
Lineage: Eukaryota; Metazoa; Arthropoda; Insecta; Hymenoptera; Vespidae
Exons: 8
Source: RefSeq, a predicted model, not a curated record